RNAcentral lists this transfer RNA (72 nucleotides) under Euciroa cf. queenslandica STW-2017. Its description in RNAcentral is "tRNA-Ala". Lineage: Eukaryota; Metazoa; Mollusca; Bivalvia; Euciroidae. The record is from RNAcentral.
AGCAAUAUAGUUUAUUAAAAAUCUCUAUUUGCAUUUGAGGGAAAAGGUAAAUUUAUUAUACCUUUAUUGCUA